RNAcentral lists this ribosomal RNA (799 nucleotides) under uncultured Actinomycetes bacterium. RNAcentral's name for it is "bacterial SSU rRNA". It matches the Rfam family "Bacterial small subunit ribosomal RNA", at positions 60 to 837 of the family's 1533-position model. Lineage: Bacteria; Bacillati; Actinomycetota; Actinomycetes. The record is from RNAcentral.
AGUCGAACGCGAAAGUCCCCUUCGGGGGACAAGUAGAGUGGCGCACGGGUGAGUAACACGUAGGUAAUCUACCUUCGGAUGGGGAAUAACAACCGGAAACGGUUGCUAAUACCGCAUAAUGCAGCGGCACCUAAUGGUGACAGUUGUUAAAGCGGGGGAUCGAAAGACCUCGCGUCUGAAGAGGAGCCUGCGGCGGAUUAGCUAGUUGGUAGGGUAACGGCCUACCAAGGCGACGAUCCGUAGCCGGCCUGAGAGGGCGGUCGGCCACACUGACACUGACAUACGGGUCAGACUCCUACGGGAGGCAGCAGUCGGGAAUUUUGGGCAAUGGGCGAAAGCCUGACCCAGCAACGCCGCGUGAAGGAUGAAAUCCCUCGGGAUGUAAACUUCGCAAGAACGGGAAGAAUAAGUAGGGGACAAUACCCCCUAUGAUGACGGUACCGUUUGUAAGCUCCGGCUAACUCCGUGCCAGCAGCCACGGUAAUACGGGGGGAGCAAGCGUUGUUCGGAUUUACUGGGCGUAAAGGGCGCGUAGGCGGCCUCCGCAAGUCAGUUGUGAAAUCUCCGAGCUUAACUCGGAAAGGUCAACUGAUACUGCGGGGCUAGAGUGCGGAAGGGGCAACUGGAAUUCUUGGUGUAGCGGUGAAAUGCGUAGAUUUCAAGAGGAACACCUGCGGCGAAGGCGGGUUGCUGGGCCGACACUGACGCUGAGGCGCGAAAGCUAGGGGAGCGAACGGGAUUAGAUACCCCGGUAGUCCUAGCCUUAAACGAUGAAUGCUUGGUGUCUGGGGUUAUAUAU